AGUGAACGCUGGCGGUAGGCCUAACACAUGCAAGUCGAACGGCAGCACAGUAAGAGCUUGCUCUUACGGGUGGCGAGUGGCGGACGGGUGAGGAAUACAUCGGAAUCUACUUUUUCGUGGGGGAUAACGUAGGGAAACUUACGCUAAUACCGCAUACGACCUACGGGUGAAAGCAUGGGAUCUUCGGACCUUGCGCGAUUGAAUGAGCCGAUGUCGGAUUAGCUAGUUGGCGGGGUAAAGGCCCACCAAGGCGACGCUCCGUAGCUGGUCUGAGAGGAUGAUCAGCCACACUGGAACUGAGACACGGUCCAGACUCCUACGGGAGGCAGCAGUGGGGAAUAUUGGACAAUGGGCGCAAGCCUGAUCCAGCCAUACCGCGUGGGUGAAGAAGGCCUUCGGGUUGUAAAGCCCUUUUGUUGGGAAAGAAAAGCAGCAGGUUAAUACCCCGCUGUUCUGACGGUACCCAAAGAAUAAGCACCGGCUAACUUCGUG
This 492-nucleotide ribosomal RNA is filed under the name uncultured bacterium. RNAcentral describes it as "partial 16S ribosomal RNA". It matches the Rfam family "Bacterial small subunit ribosomal RNA", at positions 29 to 507 of the family's 1533-position model. The record is from RNAcentral.